Molecule: long non-coding RNA, 2525 nt
Filed under: Homo sapiens (human)
Lineage: Eukaryota; Metazoa; Chordata; Mammalia; Primates; Hominidae
Description: HSALNT0234449
Source: RNAcentral
GCACUGGAGCUCAAAGGUGAAAGAGAAGGCUCCUCCAGAGAAGGGGACGGUCCCGUGGGGAGCUCAAGAAGAGACAAGCCACCCAAGCCCAAUGGGAGGACCGGACUACGAGACCCAAGAAUGGAGACGGUGAGUGGCCUGCACCUGUAGAGACCUGUGAGACGAGAGGCUCCAGAGCCAACAGCAUGCAAGGCCCGCAUGUGGGUAAGGAGAGCUGCAAGGCCGCAUGUGGGUAAGGAGAGCUGCAAGGCCCCAUGUGGGUAAGGAGAGCUGCAAGGCCCGCAUGUGCGUAAGGACAGCUGCAAGACCCCCAUGUGGGUAAGGAGAGCGGCAAGGCCCCAUGUGGGUAAGGAGAGUGGCAAGGCCCGCAUGUGGGUAAGGAGAGCUACAAGGCCCGCAUGUGCGUAAGGAGAGCUGCAAGGCCGCAUGUGGGUAAGGAGAGCUGCAAGGCCCCAUGUGGGUAAGGAGAGCUGCAAGGCCGUAUGUGGGUAAGGAGAGCUGCAAGGCCGCAUGUGGGUAAGGAGAGCUGCAAGGCCCGCAUGUGGGUAAGGAGAGCGGCAAGGCCCGCAUGUGCGUAAGGAGAGCUGCAAGGCCGCAUGUGGGUAAGGAGAGCUGCAAGGCCGCAUGUGGGUAAGGAGAGCUGCAAGGCCCGCAUGUGCGUAAGGAGAGCGGCAAGGCCCGCAUGUGCGUAAGGAGAGCUGCAAGGCCGCAUGUGGGUAAGGAGAGCGGCAAGGCCCCCAUGUGCGUAAGGAGAGCUGCAAGGCCGCAUGUGGGUAAGGAGAGCUGCAAGGCCCCAUGUGGGUAAGGACAGCUGCAAGGCCGUAUGUGGGUAAGGAGAGCUGCAAGGCCGCAUGUGGGUAAGGAGAGCUGCAAGGCCGCAUGUGGGUAAGGAGAGCUGCAAGGCCCCAUGUGGGUAAGGAGAGCGGCUCAGAGCCGCAGCCACCUGCUAGGGACAGCAGGGCUCCUGAGUGGCAGAUGCUCGCGCCCCCGGGCUGCGUGUGACGCCCUACACCCUUGGGACAGCAACGAAUGCCUCAGGGGACCUCAGCAACACAUUCGGAUUCUCGAAGCAAUGUGGGCAGAGUGCAGUGAGAGCUGCAAGAUGAGCACGUGACCUGCCGCGGACGAAAAGAACUGCAAGGGACAGUCGGCCCAGUGGCUCCUCCCCUGCGUGGGCCGAGAUGUUUUCUGCCCGUGACCUCAGCAGCACCCUUGUCAGUCCCCGCACGGCCUCUGCCCUCCUUCCCAGUCACCCUCGCCUUUGCUGUGUGGGCUGGUGCUCGGCCAGUCAGCAUACAACACCCUGUUCAGGUGGGGAUCGACGAUGAACAGGCUGCCUGGGAUCAGGCAAUGCUUUUUCCAAUAUGACCCCUAAUGCACAAGCAACCGAAGAAAAAAAAAAAAACAGAAAAAAUGGACUUCAAGAUGAAAACCUUUUCUAUUUCAAAGGAUGGCAUCAAGAGAGUGAAAGGACAGCCCAAAGAACAAGAGACAAUAUCUGCAAGUUCCAUCGCUGAUAAGGGACUCGCCUAAGAACUCCUACAAUUCAAUAAAAAGACAACCCAAUUAAAAUAUGGACAAAGGCUCUGAACAGACAUUUCUCCAAAGAAGACAAACGGGCAACAGACACAUGGAAAGACACUCAAUGUCGUGAGUCUUCAGGGAGGUGCAAGUGAAAGCUGCAGUGAGACAGUGCUGCACACCCACCAGGAUGGCUAGCAUUUGUAAGACGGGGAACUGCAGGUACUGACGAGGAUGUGGAGAAAGGGGGGCUCUUGCACGCUGCUGGCAGGAAUGCAAGAUGGUGCAGCGGCUUUAGAAAAAAAGUCUGGCAACUCCUCAAAAACUUAAACACAAAGCGGUAUUUCACACAUAGGUACACUCCCAACAGAAAAAAAAAAAAAAAACGAAAAAAAAAACUACGUCGCACAAACCCCAUACCCAAAUACUCAGAGCAGUGCUGUUCACAACAGCCAAAAAGUGGGACCACCACAAACGCCCACCAGCUGAGGAAGACAGAAACACAACUGGUCUAGCCACACCACAGGACACUGCUCAGCCACAAGCAGGAAUGAGUCUUGAUACCUGCUACAGCGCUGGUCAAUGAACCCUGAAAAGACGACACUGAGUGAAAAGAGUUGGACGCCAAGGACCCACUCGUACUGUGCGAUCCCAUUGAAAGGACAUGUCCAGAACAGGCCGAUCCACAGAGCAGCCCGGCCGCCAGCAGCCUAGGGGCAGGUGAUGAACGCGGGUGACUGCUGGUGGGAGUGGGGUUUUGCUCUAGGGUGAUGGAAAUGUUCCGGAACCUGCACAGCCUUGUGAAUACACCAAAAACCACUGCGCUCUACACUAUAAAGUGGAGAAUGUUAUGUGAAUUACGUCUCAGUGAACACAAAAUUAGCAGGUUGAUUCAGAACCCAUUCCAGACCGUCAUCAAAGAGAAAUGGGACAAGUGGAAAGAGUCCGUUACACAGUAUCUUUAAGCUUCAGACGGGUAAUACAUAUUUAUUGAAAAUUUUCUU